GACGAGGUGGCUGAAUGGUUAAGGCAAUGGACUACUAAUCCAUUGUGCUCUGCGCACAUGAGUUUGAGUCCCAUCCUCGUCA
Non-coding RNA from Xiphias gladius (swordfish), 82 nucleotides. The record is from the annotation of a RefSeq genome assembly. NCBI's taxonomy places the organism in Eukaryota, Metazoa, Chordata, Actinopteri, Istiophoriformes, Xiphiidae.